Molecule: unclassified non-coding RNA, 258 nt
Filed under: rhizosphere metagenome
Description: partial ribosomal RNA internal transcribed spacer region
Source: RNAcentral
GUAGGUGAACCUGCGGAAGGAUCAUUGCAAAUCAUGGGGGGUAGGUGCGGUAGGGGGAAGAGUGCGUGGGAUGGAAGGGUGCGUGGCUCUGCUGUGAGGCUAUGCUGCGUGCUAUUCCAUCUCGCACUCCUCCCACUGCGCCCUGCCGCCGACAUUUGGUCGGGAUGCGAGUCCCGGAUCAUAUUCACGCUUGUGCUGUUUGACAGAGUAAAUAUAUAUGAAUUAUGACAACUUUUAACAAUGGAUCUCUUGGCUCUU